This 117-nucleotide ribosomal RNA is filed under the name Pyrinomonadaceae bacterium. RNAcentral also lists the same sequence under 1 other name. Lineage: Bacteria; Pseudomonadati; Acidobacteriota; Blastocatellia; Blastocatellales; Pyrinomonadaceae. The record is from RNAcentral.
GUGGGUGAUCCGCGCGGUGGGGGUCCACCCGGUCCCAUCCCGAACCCGGCAGUUAAGCCCACCUGUGCCGAUGAUACUGCGCCCGUAGGGGCGUGGGAAAGUAGGUCAUUGCCCACC